Molecule: long non-coding RNA, 577 nt
Organism: Salvia miltiorrhiza (redroot sage)
Lineage: Eukaryota; Viridiplantae; Streptophyta; Magnoliopsida; Lamiales; Lamiaceae
Exons: 2
Source: RefSeq, a predicted model, not a curated record
GAAUUUACUUAGCCUAAUUAAAUUAACCCCUCUUAUAACAUAAAUCUAUAUAAAAUAAAAACUAGUCUUCUUCUUAAAAUAGAGGAAAUCAGAUUCCUCCUUCUCUCCUCAGACGUGGUCUUUCUCUCUCUGUUCACUCGCCCGCGUCUGUCACUCUCCCUCUCUCUCACGCUUGGCGACGUCGCCGGUCAUCGCCGCCUCCGGCGCGGCGAGGCCGGCGCCUCCCUCUCCCCUUCUUCUUCCUUUCCUUCCUUUUCCCUUAAUUCUCAAAUCAAAAACCAACCUAGGUUUUUUUUUAAUCUCCCCCAUCAUUUUUACUCCUCUGGAGAAUCCCGGCGAAUAACGUCGCCGCCGCCCCAGCUCGUCGGAUUUCCGCUCCUCCGUCGUUCUUCCUGCCUCAGGAAUUGGUCGGCAUCGUCGACUCCGGUGUGGCAGCUUCGUCUACUGCCCAAGAUUCUACCUUUUCUUCCUUCGUUUUUAUUUAUCUGGUUUCUUGUUCAAUUACUGAAAAUUGGGAUUGUUGAUGAUAAAGCAUACUGCUUAUGCUUAACUUGUAUAACUAUAUCAUUUUUCUAUU